This 171-nucleotide ribosomal RNA is filed under the name uncultured bacterium. RNAcentral's name for it is "partial 16S ribosomal RNA". It matches the Rfam family "Bacterial small subunit ribosomal RNA", at positions 338 to 524 of the family's 1533-position model. The record is from RNAcentral.
CCUACGGGAGGCAGCAGUGGGGAAUAUUGGGCAAUGGGGGAAACCCUGACCCAGCAACGCCGCGUGAGGGAAGAAGGUUUUCGGAUUGUAAACCUCUGUUCUUGGAGAAGAGAAGAAGACGGUAUCCAAGGAGGAAGCCCCGGCUAACUACGUGCCAGCAGCCGCGGUAAU